GGAAGGGCAGGAAAGAGAAGAACAGUUAAAAGUUAGAUCAUUAUUUAGAAUGGUGGUACCAGUCUGCCUGAAUAUCAGAAAUUCCUGGAGAGUAUUUGAAAAAUACAGAUAUCUGCUCCUCAAGUCAUGAGGCUUUGAUUAAGAUGGUGUAGUGACACAUAAGACUCCUAGAUACAAAAAAAAAAAAAAAAAAAAAAAAAAAAAAAAAAAUCCAAGGUAGACUGUGAAGAUGGGAAUGGAGACUCAGGACCCAGCUCGUGUCUUUAUUAUUCGUUCUGUUGACCGCAGAUACUGUGUGGUACCAGCAGAAGCAGCACUGAACACUGGCGAGGCGGAGGCAAACACAAGGCCUAAAUAAUCAUGCUGGGCUCAUUUGAUGGUGUGUGCCUAUAACGCCUAUAAUGGGAGGUAGAGGCAGGAGAGUCAGACGUUCAAGGUCAUCCUUGACUGUAUAGCCCUAUCGAGGACAGCUACGAGAAUCUGUCUCAAGUAAACAGAAGAAAUGCAGCCCAAUGGGCCACUCUCUGAAAUCCUCCGUGUGGUUUCAGGUCUGAACCAAGGCUAACACUAAGACCAAUCAGGUUGAGGAGAGGAAAGUGAAGUCGGAGAGAGAGGAAAAUGACCCAAGAAUCUGCUGGACUACUAAUUUUGUUUAAAAUCAUUUUGGCACUUAAAAGGACCCAAGGGACCACCUGCUUUUGUUUUCACAGUUGAGUAACUUUAAACUCAGAGGAGUUAAACGAUGAGCCUUCUGAGCGUGUAGCUAUUCAGGACAGGGCCGUAAAACCCAGUGGCUGGCCUUUUAUAACACUGUCUAUGUUCAUGUGAAAACCUCAGCAGACAUCUUCCCAAUCCAAGUUCUAAAAGAAAAUAGUCCCCUGGCAAGAGUCCUUGUAAAAGAAAAGGACCAACUUCUCCCAGGGAGCUAAUCCUACUGUGAACUUAACCAGCUUCCCUGCUUAGUCAGUUCCUGAACUCUGCAGCCCUGUAGGGAGAGAAAGCAGAAAAGACAGAGUGGGUCCUGGUCCAUUUCCUCCCUAAAUACAGUAGUUCUAAGGUCAAACACUUCCAUCACGAGGAGGUAAUGGCAAUGAGCAUGUGUGAAAGAAAGUCGUAAAGGAAGAGCAGUGGACUUAAACACUCUUCCCUGAUCUGCAAGGAGAAAGUGCAGCCAGCAGUCUAGGGGAAGACAAAAGCCAAGCCUUACUGGAAUGAGAUUCUGGGUGAUGCUUGAUCCUGGAAUUCUUCAAAAGUCUGACAAUAACAAGUUUUGAGAAGAUCUGAUCAACAGGAUCCCUUAUAAGUGGCUGAUAAAGUAGAAACCGGAAAAGCUAUUUUGGAAGUCUGUUUGGAAUAAUUUUCUAAAGUUGAAUAUUCACAUACCCAGGGCAGAUUCCAUUGCUAAGCUCAAUCUUUUACCAUAUGCACUGGACACAUACAUGAACCUGCCCAGCGUGGCACUCUUCUAACAGAAAGAGUCUGGAAGCGCGUUGGGGGGGAUGAAGUCUGUGCUGGCCAAGUGCCAGGUGGGAGUUUGGCUUCUCAGACCUCAGGUAAAGUGUCAGGAAGGUGUGAUGGUGACUUGCACAGCCAGAGCUCAGGAAGUGGAGGCAAGAUUCCAGGGGCAAGCUGCCUAGCCUUUGAAGCCAAACUGUCAGGCUGUGGGUCCCAACAGAUUCCCUGCCCACAUCAAUGAACUCUACAGUGACCAAGGAAGACACUCAACUUCAACCUUUGACUUCCACACGCAUGUAUACAUGUGUGCAUGUGUGAUCACACAAGCAUGUUUCCCACAUGAGAACAUGGAUAUAUACAAAUGUAUGUACAUCACACAUACUACACAAUACAUACAUAUAUAUGUAUAUACAUAUAAACACACACAUACAUUUACUUGUCAAAGAAUAUUUGGGUUAUAUGUAGAAUAUAUAGUCAUAUAUAUAAUUCAAAUUACAUAUAUUAUUAUAUAAUUAUAUAUAUAUAUUCCAAAUAUUCUCUAACAAGUGACUAGAGAAAGUGUGGUAUUGUCACACAAUGGUGCUAUAAGGCUGAGACAUAAAAUGAAAUGUCAGUGUACACAUUUCCUACAAGUGAUUCUGAGCAAACUAAUGUUG
This 2111-nucleotide long non-coding RNA is filed under the name Mus musculus (house mouse). Its description in RNAcentral is "long non-coding RNA chr10:43212720-43214831". Lineage: Eukaryota; Metazoa; Chordata; Mammalia; Rodentia; Muridae. The record is from RNAcentral.